GCCUGGGUGGCUGAGUCGGUUAAGCGUCAGACUUAAGAUCUCAAGGUUCGUGGGUUCGAGCCCCGCGUCGGGCU
Molecule: non-coding RNA, 74 nt
Organism: Hyaena hyaena (striped hyena)
Lineage: Eukaryota; Metazoa; Chordata; Mammalia; Carnivora; Hyaenidae
Source: the annotation of a RefSeq genome assembly